This 497-nucleotide ribosomal RNA is filed under the name uncultured bacterium. RNAcentral describes it as "partial 16S ribosomal RNA". It matches the Rfam family "Bacterial small subunit ribosomal RNA", at positions 28 to 507 of the family's 1533-position model. The record is from RNAcentral.
GAUGAACGCUGGCGGCGUGCCUAACACAUGCAAGUCGAGCGACAAGACGAUGAGCUUUUUCUCUUGCCGUUAGCGGGUGGCGGGCGAGUAACACAUGCAUAACCUACUUCUUUGACGUGGAUAAUUUCGGAAAACCGCUUCUGAUACCGCAGAAUAUAUUCAACGGCAGGGUUCAAGAGUUAAUGACGGCUUUGCUGUCUCUUAUAGCUGGAUCCGCGUCGCAUUAGCGAGUUGGUAAGGUAACGGCUUACCAAGGCGACGAUGCGUAGCUGAGCUGAGAGGGUGAUCGGCCACACUGGAACUGAGACACGGUCCAGACUCCUACGGGAGGCAGCAGUGGGGAAUCUUCCACAAUGGGCGCAAGCCUGAUCGAGCCAUGCCGCGUGGGUGAUGAAGGUCUUCGGGUUGUAAAGCCCUGUUGUUGGGGAAGAACAGCAGUGUAAUAAACUCUGCACGUCUUGACGGUACCUAAAGAGAAAGCCCCGGCUAACUUCGUG